Molecule: long non-coding RNA, 1040 nt
Filed under: Piliocolobus tephrosceles (Ugandan red Colobus)
Lineage: Eukaryota; Metazoa; Chordata; Mammalia; Primates; Cercopithecidae
Description: lncRNA (ENSPTEG00000012043.1)
Source: RNAcentral
UAUAUAUAUAUAUAUAUUUUUUUUUUUAUUUUAGCAAAAUGUUAAUGUAGAUAUGAUCCUUAAUAAAAUGCAAAAUUCAAUGAACCCGUCCGUUAAAAACCAUAAUUAUACAAAAUCUCAAAAUGAGUUAAGCCCCUUUGCAGUUAAUACACCCAAGCCAAAAAAAUCGUUUGAUACAUUAAUGAAUAAUGCACUUAAAAGAUCAAAAGAAGAAGACUGUAUUAACAAUCCAGUUGAGUUUGAAGGGACUCAAGAGUUUAGUUAUAAAAAUAUAUUAGGUAAGAUUCCUAUAUGUUCAUUUAUAAAUAAUUACCAAGAAACUAAUAAUUAUACAAAUAAUAUGCCAAUACAACAAAAUAUAUCAAAUAUAUUAUUAAAUAUACCAUUUAUACCUGUCAUGCCUAGAACAGUCAACACUCAUUUAAUGGAAAGUCCUUCAUAUUUUAAUCCAUAUAUGCGUGGUUAUUAUCCUAACAAUUGUGCUAUAGUAAAUCCUAACAAUCCCUCAUUUUUUAAUAUGCCUAUAGCAUUAUUUGAUACUAAUUAUACAUCAAAUAAAAACAUGAAUUUAUGUGCUAUGCGAAAUGCGCAUAUGCAUAACAAUAAUUCUUCUAUGAAUUUCCAAAUGUCACCAUUUAUACCAUCAAAUAUACCACCAGCUAUGGUACAAAAUAUACCACCACCUAUAGCACAAAAUAUACCACCAGCUAUGGCACAAAAUAUACCACCAGCUAUGGCACAAAAUAUAACACCAGCUAUGGCACAAAAUAUAACACCAGCUAUGGCGCCAACUAUUGGUUAUGGUAUUAAUGAUAAUAAUUCCAUUAAUAUGAUAAAUAAUUCAAAUAUGCCUUCUCCUAAUUUAAAUAUACCUGCAUACUCUCCCGAAUUUGUUUUUAUGAACGCACAUAAAUAUCCGAACUCUCAUUCCAUGCCUUUACCCUUUUUUCCUCAAUAUCAAAGUUACUAUCCGCACCCUACACAUGGAACGAAUAAUGCAUAAAAAAUGUGAAAAAUAAAAAAGGCAUAAUAACAAAACA